RNAcentral lists this transfer RNA (74 nucleotides) under Deltaproteobacteria bacterium. RNAcentral describes it as "tRNA-Gln". It matches the Rfam family "tRNA". From Rfam's summary of the family: Transfer RNA (tRNA) molecules are approximately 80 nucleotides in length. Their secondary structure includes four short double-helical elements and three loops (D, anti-codon, and T loops). The record is from RNAcentral. Lineage: Bacteria; Pseudomonadati; Myxococcota; Myxococcia. RNAcentral also lists the same sequence under 2 other names.
UGGGGGAUCGUUUAGUGGCAAGACGGCAGGUUCUGGCCCUGCAAACCAAGGUUCGAAUCCUUGUCCCCCAGCCA